CCUGGUGAUCUUAGCGAGGGGUCCACACCCGAUCCCAUCUCGAACUCGGCCGUGAAAACCCUCAGCGCCGAUGGUACUAUGUCUCAAGGCAUGGGAGAGUAGGUCGUCGCCAGGU
This 115-nucleotide ribosomal RNA is filed under the name Rhodospirillales bacterium. Lineage: Bacteria; Pseudomonadati; Pseudomonadota; Alphaproteobacteria; Rhodospirillales. The record is from RNAcentral.